This is a long non-coding RNA of Magnolia sinica, 2130 nucleotides long. RefSeq lists it as uncharacterized. The record is from RefSeq and is a predicted model, not a curated record. The transcript is spliced from 2 exons. Lineage: Eukaryota; Viridiplantae; Streptophyta; Magnoliopsida; Magnoliales; Magnoliaceae.
UUAGUGCGAGACCGGCUUAUGAAUGGACCAGCCUGAAUUUUUUUUGCAUAUGCUUAUCUUCUAUAUAAUUGUCUGCAUGCAUUCCUUUUAGUGGCAGUACCCUAAUUUUUGGUUAUGGACAAAGAACAUUGAUGAACCAAGGAGUUUGAAUUUUAUGGUCGGUCCAAACUUUCAAGCCAAUACUAAAUGACAAUGGUGAUAACCUAACCAAGAUGAAAAUUAAUUUGCAUCUGUAAUAUGUCUACAAUUACUAGUUCUCAUUCUAUUGAAACCUAACCCAAGAAGUUUGAAUUUUAUGGCCUUUUCCGCAGGCAUAUUUCUAUAUUUGUUUUUCCUUGAGCGUUUGCUUUUAGGACACUAAUCAAAGGAUUACGAACUUCCUAUUUGAGGGCAUCCUCCAUCCUCAUUGAGAUCGAUGGGAUUUAUAGUGUGGAGUAUUACUAACCCCACUUGGAUGGAAUAAAUGCAUCAUGACAGUUUUCACAUUUAUAUACUCUGUUUUGCUGAUGAGUAACUGUAGUAUGAAUAGUUUCACAUCAUUUUUAGGCCUUAACUAGAGAUUUGAUUUGUAAUGUCUAGAUUUUAUUGGAGUAUCACCAACCCCACUUGGAUGGAAGCAUGACAGUUUUCACAUUUAUGUGCUCUGUUUUGCUGAUGAGUUGCUAUAGUAUGUCUUUUAUUUGGAGCUGUAAAAAGGAGCCAUACGAUAGGUGAGGCCCAGAUAUUUUGUGGCGCCCAUCUGAAAUUUAUACACCCAAAUUUUAUGGUCAAGAGAAAAAAAAGAGUCUGAUUCCAUCAUGUAUGUUAAAUGUUGAUUGUUAAUUUUGUUCAUAUACGAUUGGCUCGCCUAAAUUGUGUCUGACCUGAUUCUUGAACCAAGCAUAAGUUGUAGGUGAGGUUUCGAAAGCCCACAUGUGUGUGGAGCAUUGCCCAACCAAAUACCACCACAUGCACCAAUGUAGAAUAAGGGUGCUACAUAAGACCUAAUUUCCAUCUAGUAGGUCAAUUUUUUUAGAACUUCUAACUUAAAAAUCAAGUGUUUCUUCCUCGGGUGGACCACUUUGUAUGAAACAAAUGGAUGUUCAGAAAGAGCUGUUUUAGCCAUUCAUUUCUUUUGUAUAUUGUGCAUAACUUCAGGGCUGAAAAGCUUGAUUCUUGCAUGUGGCUCGUCUAAUUAAAAGCUGGGAUCUCACACAUGUUGCAUAUUGGCAUGUGCGGCCACAUGUGGAUGGUCAUGAUUCCACAUGCAUGUGGGCUUAACCUCUGUUUUAUGUUUACUUCAUAUGUUUUUAGACUUCUUUGGUCCCAUAUGAUAUAUAGCUGGCAUAAUAGCAUGUAUAAAUGUUUAAUUAUAGUAGCUUAGUUUUUGUUUGUGCAUGGAGAACUCAUUGAGAAGCCAAUGUGUCUCGAUCUGUUUGCAGUCAUUCUAGAAUUUGGAGCUCAUAUUUGAUGACUAUAGUAAUUUCACAUUUUGAGUUUGAAAUUUAAUCAUGUUAGUAAUAAUCUUAUAAAGAGUUAUCUAUUUGUCAUGACUCAAGAAAAUUUAAUUGAGAAUUCUCUCCUUAUAAUCUUUGGCCACCUUUUUUCUUUUUUUUCUUUUUUUUCCAGGCAAUUGAUUUAUUAUUUUUUCUUAACCGUCUUUUGUAAGACAUUGAUUGACAGAUUAGGAAAUUCAAUCUGUAAGAUUUUUGGAGCAUCUUCCAUCUAUGGCAGUGCCUAUCAAAUCAAAGUUUGGAUUUUAGAACUAUUGGCCCCACGGGUAACAAGCAUCAUCAAGACACUUGGACCGAAUGCCCUAGGAACUUAUACUUCCUGUUCUAUCCAUGAAUAGUUUCUAAAGUUAGAGAGUGCAAUGACCUGCACAUGCAAAGUAACCAGACAAAAUGAAGAAUGGCAAUGGUGACCAGAUGGUGAUGAAAUGUUUGGAUGAUAUCUUGUAAUUGCAACAUGAGGGCAUGGAUGUUUUGUUUCAGAUCUUUUGAUAUGUAACCAUGUGCUAAUAUUUGUUAUAUGUCUAUAAUUUAAUUCACACCAACAGUUCAGUUAAGUUUUGAUUUAUUUCAUUGUAGGCAUUGUCUGCCUGUAAUAUGUUUGUUAAAAACUGAAAUUGGAAUCAAUUUCUUUACAGUA